Molecule: ribosomal RNA, 445 nt
Filed under: uncultured bacterium
Lineage: Bacteria
Description: bacterial SSU rRNA
Rfam family: Bacterial small subunit ribosomal RNA
Source: RNAcentral
CCAGACUCCUACGGGAGGCAGCAGUGGGGAAUAUUGCACAAUGGGGGGAACCCUGAUGCAGCGACGCCGCGUGAGUGAAGAAGUAUUUCGGUAUGUAAAGCUCUGUCAGCAGGGAAGAAGAAAGACGGUACCUGACCAAGAAGCCCCGGCUAACUACGUGCCAGCAGCCGCGGUAAUACGUAGGGGGCAAGCGUUAUCCGGAUUUACUGGGUGUAAAGGGAGCGUAGACGGCAUGGCAAGUCAGACGUGAAAGCCCGGGGCUCAACCCCGGGACUGCAUUUGAAACUGUCAGGCUGGAGUGCAGGAGAGGUAAGUGGAAUUCCUAGUGUAGCGGUGAAAUGCGUAGAUAUAAGGAAGAACACCAGUGGCGAAGGCGGAUUACUGGACGAUAACUGACGGUGAGGCGCGAAAGCGUGGGGAGCAAACAGGAUUAGAUACCCCCGUA